This 536-nucleotide ribosomal RNA is filed under the name Cosmocephalus jaenschi. RNAcentral's name for it is "partial large subunit ribosomal RNA". Lineage: Eukaryota; Metazoa; Nematoda; Chromadorea; Rhabditida; Acuariidae. The record is from RNAcentral.
ACUCUGAGAGAGAGUUAAAGGAGGACGUGAAACCGCUGGGAUGGAAACGAAUAGAGUUGACGAAACCAACCGUCAUUCAACCGAUCAGCUCAGCGGUCUCUUUGCUCUUGUGUACCUUGAUUUCACAUGCAUAUCUCUCUUUCAUGUGAGCUAUGUAAUGUAUCAAUGGACAUGUGCAAGAGGUGCUGUUGAGUAGUUUUCAAAUAUGCCUGUGUGAUCGGUGCAUUUGAUGGUGGUACGCGCCGAGAGCCGUGUUCAUGUACGACAAAGCUUUUGGUAGUGGAUCGAGUGAUUUAAUUGCAUUCGAAAACCUACCUAAGUGGAUGAUGCGUAUCAUGUUUGUGAUACGGUUGCAAUUGCAAUUCCCGCCAACAUUUGUUGGUGCGUUACAUAUUUGCAAAAUUCAAAUUCACAUCAAAUGAUCGCUUGCGUAUCGUUGGUGUUUGCAUUAUUUGAGUUAUGUUUGAUAUGGUUUGACGCGUGGUAAUUGCAUCUCGGUGUGAGCGUCGAUCACCUAUUCGACCCGUCUUGAAACA